This 367-nucleotide ribosomal RNA is filed under the name Burkholderia sp. 29R. RNAcentral's name for it is "bacterial SSU rRNA". It matches the Rfam family "Bacterial small subunit ribosomal RNA", at positions 971 to 1342 of the family's 1533-position model. Lineage: Bacteria; Pseudomonadati; Pseudomonadota; Betaproteobacteria; Burkholderiales; Burkholderiaceae. The record is from RNAcentral.
UUACCUACCCUUGACAUGGUCGGAAUCCUGCUGAGAGGCGGGAGUGCUCGAAAGAGAACCGGCGCACAGGUGCUGCAUGGCUGUCGUCAGCUCGUGUCGUGAGAUGUUGGGUUAAGUCCCGCAACGAGCGCAACCCUUGUCCUUAGUUGCUACGCAAGAGCACUCUAAGGAGACUGCCGGUGACAAACCGGAGGAAGGUGGGGAUGACGUCAAGUCCUCAUGGCCCUUAUGGGUAGGGCUUCACACGUCAUACAAUGGUCGGAACAGAGGGUUGCCAACCCGCGAGGGGGAGCUAAUCCCAGAAAACCGAUCGUAGUCCGGAUUGCACUCUGCAACUCGAGUGCAUGAAGCUGGAAUCGCUAGUAAU